GGAGGGGUGGCAGAGCGGCCGAAUGCACCGGUCUUGAAAACCGGAGUCCGGGUAACCGGACCGCGAGUUCGAAUCUCGCCCCCUCCG
This 87-nucleotide transfer RNA is filed under the name Solirubrobacterales bacterium. Its description in RNAcentral is "tRNA-Ser". It matches the Rfam family "tRNA". From Rfam's summary of the family: Transfer RNA (tRNA) molecules are approximately 80 nucleotides in length. Their secondary structure includes four short double-helical elements and three loops (D, anti-codon, and T loops). Lineage: Bacteria; Bacillati; Actinomycetota; Thermoleophilia; Solirubrobacterales. The record is from RNAcentral.